Long non-coding RNA from Drosophila kikkawai, 515 nucleotides. RefSeq lists it as uncharacterized. NCBI's taxonomy places the organism in Eukaryota, Metazoa, Arthropoda, Insecta, Diptera, Drosophilidae. The record is from RefSeq and is a predicted model, not a curated record.
CAUGGCCCUUUCUGUCAGUUUGUCAGCCUGUGCAGCCAGUCGAGAGUUUAUAUCGAUGAUGACUGCGCUGAUAUAACGUUGGAAGCCAGCUCUUGUGGGGCUGGACGUGGAGGAGCCUCCUCAUCGCUCGCCGGGAUGUCUUCUCGGUCUGCCUGCCUGCCUGCCCCGAGUCUCAGUCCGAAUCCGAAUCCAUAUCUGAGGGCUUGCUGCCAGAUACGCCGCACAGAUACAGCCAAAGAGGAGCAGACCUCUUCAUUGGCCUUUUCGUGAUCGGUGAGACCGCUCAAAGCGUUUCUCAUCAGCAAAUGGUAGCUGGACACCAACUAGUCCAAGUCCAAGUCCAAGUGGCCGGCGGAGCGUAACGAACGAGCUCCGGGUGUCGGUGUCCCCCACAUUUCCUGCGCUCUUUGAUGGGGUUUCCAGCAGCCUACAAAAAAAUAAGCUCUUCAAUACGAAACAUCCUUCGCCUGCCUGUUCCACGGUGCCCGUAGAUCUGGCUCCCUUCCAGUUCGAUA